Long non-coding RNA from Nyctereutes procyonoides (raccoon dog), 728 nucleotides. RefSeq lists it as uncharacterized. NCBI's taxonomy places the organism in Eukaryota, Metazoa, Chordata, Mammalia, Carnivora, Canidae. The record is from RefSeq and is a predicted model, not a curated record. The transcript has 3 exons.
ACCUAGUGGUUAAAUGGGAGGACGGAAUGGGAGAAAAUAUGAUUGUACUCCUAGCCACCCAGACGGCAUUCUUCUCUGACACAUUUGUGAUAUGGAUCUCAGCCCAGAGGAAAGUCCAGGAUGAGAAGCCAGGCACGGUGCCUCACCACAGGAAGCCCCAAUCCAGAAGUAGGAGCCUAAAAUAACAAGCAAGUGUGUGAAAACUGGCACAUCAUAGGCACUCGGUACACAGCCCUGGAAGACGAGUGUCACUGAUGAGGAGGUUUAGGGCCACCAAUACGGUUUGGAACUUGUACAUAUAGAGUGGAUUUAAUUACCUGGAAAGUCAUUGAAGUUAGAAUGAAAUAAGAUUGGGAAGGCUUCCCUUAUAUCUGCAGUUCAUAUUUUUAGGGACUUCAACCCUCUAUAAGUUGGCCAGAGACUGAGAAGUAAACCCAGCAGACUUUUAUAUAUCAGGAAUAACUGCUACAAAGCAAAUGCACCAAAACCCGGCAAAAAAUGCCACUGCGCCAAAGUGUCCCAAACUGAUCUUUUGGAUAUGAGUCUCAAGAGAUUUUCUGAAUGCAAAGGAUUUCACGGUCAAAGAUGGAUGGGAACACAGCACACUAUUUGCAUAUUUAAGCUCACAGAAAUUUUUAAAAAGAUCACUUUCAGAAUUUAAGACUGGGACCUCAUAAAGGAACUGAAAUAAAAAAAAUCAAUUUGGAAUCUGUAUCAUAGAUUAUUCA